UUCUAUCUACACAGAAGACAGAAGUAGGGUGAUGGCUUCUGAUGUGGAGGGAAAGAGAAAUCAUUAAAUGAAUACUGUUCCAGUUUUCCAAAAUGUAACGUUCUGGAGACGAAUGGUGGUGAUAUUUACAUAACAGUGUUAAUAUAUUUUGUGUCACUUAACUGUACACUCGAAACUCUUCAGAUGAUAAAUUUUGCAUGUGCAUUUUGCCAUAAUAGAAAUUGGAAAAUAGAACCACCUGAGCUAGCAAUCCUCCUCUGAGUGUAGGUCCAGAGGGAUAAAACUCAGGGUCUUGAAGAGACCAUUCUCCUGAUCACUGCAGCAUUAUUCACUGUAGCCAAGAUAUGAGAGCCUAAAUGUCCACUGAUGGGUGAAUGGAUAAAUAAAAUAUGGUAUUUACAUGCAAUCAAAUUUUAUUCGCAUAGAAACAGGAGCAGCCAGCCACUUGGGACAACGUGGACGGAACUGGAGAACAUGCUGAGUGAAAUAAGCCAGUCACAAAUAGAAAACAAACAAAAAGUCAAAAGGGGCAGGAGGAAAGUUCUGGAGGUGACAGACAAGUGCAUGGCUCACGAAGAUGCUUUCAUGGGUGUGCUCAGCUCUCCAAACACAAGUUGUGUUCACUAAAUAGUUGCAGCUUUUUGUGUCAGUCAUACUUCAAUAAGCAACAAGGUUCUUACCAUAUGUGGACCCUCAGCCUUGGACUCCUGAGCCUCCAGCCCGAGACAGAGGAUGCUGAGGCACCCUAGAUCGCUCCUCUACCUUUGUCCUGUUCUUCUCCUGCACCUCAGAAGCCAUGCAAAUAGCAUGAUGAUGUCUGCAGGUCACACUGGGCACUGCUGCUGUGAAGAUGAAGAACUGAGCUUACAAACCAUCCUUGGUGCCACACACCACUGACCACAUCGCACCUGGAGCACACUUAUCUGUGAGUUCCCAGCUACAGGGACAGAAAUGUUCUUCUGGUUGAGCCGGCUGGCUGAGAUGUCUGGAGAUGGUGGUCCACAGGACGGACACAUCGAGGAAAGGCCGAACAAGCUCUCGGGGCAACCUAGAUGACUAUCUGCAAUGUCACAGCACCUGGCACCCUCUGGGAGUGGCAAGUCCAGCCCACAUCCAUUUCUUGUAACUUGCUAAUUGACAACUGCUGGUGGCUACCAGGUAUAGCAAAUAAACAUAGAGAGAGCAUUUCCAAUUAAAUUUGAAUUCUGGGUCAAUAACAAAUAAUUUUUAUGACAUAAACACAUUCCAAAUAUACAUAGGAUGUACCGACUAGGACUUUCCGAGGUGCCUGUGAAGGAGGUGGGAUUUAUCCAUCCGGGGCUCCCCAAACCAUAUUUUCUUGGACUUCUUCUUAAUUAAAGAUCAUUUUCUGACUGAGCCAUUUCCAAACAUGGAAGGAGAACCACAGGGUUUCUGGCUAGAUCUUGGGCCCUUCCCUGAGGGGGCAGGGUGGCUCUUCUGGAUUCUCUUCACACCAUUCAGCCUGUGCUCCAAACACACUUCAUCAUUACUCCACUUUUCUUCCUUUGUGUGUGACCCAGGAGGACACCAGAAGACCCGGCCCGUCUAGGGUGUCUUCCUGGUUCAUCAUCCAGGUGUUUGUCUUGCUGGAUCACUGAAAGGAGUUUGUCUGCCAGUAGCAGUUUAUUGCCCAGAAACUCUCAGCAAACCUUCUGGACUCUGGAAUCUGGCUGUCUUGGUUCUCUUGGCUUAGGAGAUGAUCAGAGGGUCCACAGUCUGCCACAGGCAGUCAGCAAAGAGGAAAUCCCCUCUUCACAGCCCACUCUUCAUGGAAAUAAAGCCAGUUUCCUUCUCUUCUUAGUUAGGGUUGACCUCUUGAGGAGUAUUUUCUGUGUAGGAAACUGAGGAGAAUCAAAGGAAAGAAAUUAGUCUAACCCUAUAUAAACUGCUCUAUUUGUAGAAGUCCCUUUGUGCCUCUGAAAUGGCUGUCGUAAAGCUGUGGCACAGCCACGAGGAAUUGUGUCUUUCACUGUACCCAUCCUGCAGCUUCUCCUGGACCAGAUGAACACACUGAGGGAGACACAGGCGUGUUUCCUGAUGUCAGCUGUGACCUUCAACCGUUCCCGCCUCCUAGGACAUCCCUGAGAUGUCCCCACACACAAAAGAUCCUCUGGCUUCCUCCUCUGCCCCUGAAGGAGCCCCCUCCUUGGCCACCCCGCCGUCCUGCGCCUUCCCUAUGGCUCUGUCUCCACCUCUCUCUGUCCGACUUGGUCCCUGCAGUGGGGACUUCGCCUGCCUGCUGGCCCUGCAGCCUCCACUCGCUAGGAUGUGUGUGCAUCUCAUCCACUUCCCACGAUGGGCAGACGUGGAUCUCUCCUCCUUUUCUGCUUCUCUCUUCAGCCUCACUGCCCUCUGCCCUACUCCCAGGCCACCACUCGGGGCUGAGAGACGCCUCUGGCUUAGUUCCUUACUGCAAAGAUAAAGAUCUCAGCUACAGAUGUCACAAUCUUCAAAAAGCAGCAUGAAAUAUGAUUUUAUUGGUUGCUAAACCAUGUCUGACUCCCUUCCCUGGGGUCAUAAUGGUAGAAGGAAGACAAAAAAGGAAACCUGUUCAUCAACAACAGAAACUGGGAGGUCUUCCAGAGUUCUAAUUCUCAUUCAUCAAUCAUUUAUUGGGUGGUAACAUAUGUGCCCUAAUUUAUUCCUUCUUCAACUUUUUUGAAAAUGAGGAAAGUAAAAUAAUCAUAUACUGUUACCCUCCUUCCCACCCAACAGAGUCUCCAGCAUGUCAUCCUUUCUUUUUGUUAUCAACUGAAUUGUUUUUUCUUCCUGAAAUUUAUAUAUUGAAGUCCUAACCCUCAGGGCAGUUUGCUCUGUCCAUGGUAUUAGUUACAGCUAAGCAUGGUCUGAAAAUAUUAAGUGGAAUAUUCCCAAAGUAAACAACUCACAAGUUUUGAAUUGUGUGUCAUUCCGAGUAGUUGUGAUGAAGUUUCAUGCUGUCCUGCUCCCUUCCAUCUGUGACUGGAGUCAUCCCUUCAUCCAGUGGACCCACACUCUAUACACUACCCCCAUUCAUUGGUCACUUAGUGUCCACCUUGGUUAACAGGUUGACCUUUGUGGAAUCACAUGCUUGUGUUCAAGUAACCCUUACUUUACAUACUAACAGCCCAAAGUGCAAGAGUGCUGGCAAUUUAGU
Fukomys damarensis (Damara mole-rat) is the source of this 3157-nucleotide long non-coding RNA. RefSeq lists it as uncharacterized. The transcript is spliced from 4 exons. Lineage: Eukaryota; Metazoa; Chordata; Mammalia; Rodentia; Bathyergidae. The record is from RefSeq and is a predicted model, not a curated record.